UACGAAGGGGGCUAGCGUUGUUCGGAAUUACUGGGCGUAAAGAGUUCGUAGGCGGUCUGCUAAGCUAGAUGUGAAAUCCCAGGGCUUAACCUUGGAACUGCAUUUAGAACUGGUAGGCUAGAGAGUGUUAGAGGUUGGUAGAAUUCCUAGUGUAGGGGUGAAAUCCGUAGAUAUUAGGAGGAAUACCGAUGGCGAAGGCAGCCAACUGGGACAUUUCUGACGCUGAGGAACGAAAGCGUGGGGAGCAAACAGG
Molecule: ribosomal RNA, 253 nt
Filed under: uncultured bacterium
Lineage: Bacteria
Description: partial 16S ribosomal RNA
Rfam family: Bacterial small subunit ribosomal RNA
Source: RNAcentral